This 311-nucleotide signal recognition particle RNA is filed under the name Vombatus ursinus (common wombat). Its description in RNAcentral is "Metazoan signal recognition particle RNA (ENSVURG00010022044.1)". It matches the Rfam family "Metazoan signal recognition particle RNA". From Rfam's summary of the family: The signal recognition particle (SRP) is a universally conserved ribonucleoprotein. It is involved in the co-translational targeting of proteins to membranes. Lineage: Eukaryota; Metazoa; Chordata; Mammalia; Diprotodontia; Vombatidae. The record is from Rfam by way of RNAcentral.
GCCCGGCAUGGUAGGGCGUGCCUGUAUUCCCUGCUACUGGAGGAGGCUGAGGCUGGUAAAUGGCUCUGUUGAGUUCAGGAGUGCUGAGCUAUAGUAAGGAUAAAUAGGAUAUGAUGUCCAAACUAAAUCUGGCACUAAUGUGAUGAGCCUUUGGGGAGUGGAAAGCCAUAACACUGCCUAAGGAGGAGCAAAAUAAUGUAGGUUGGAAAAAUGGAGCAGGUCAAAGCAUCCAUGCUAAUCUUUGUUGGGAUUGGGUUUGUGAGUGGCCACUAUACUUCUAGCCUGUGUGAGAAAGGGAGACCCAGUCUCAA